UAUUUGUUAUAUAACUGACGGAAAAAGUGGAUAACCACAUGGAGUAUAACCUUGAUAUUAAGCCGACCGUCUGGGCAAUUUAU
Molecule: non-coding RNA, 83 nt
Filed under: Fusobacterium mortiferum
Lineage: Bacteria; Fusobacteriati; Fusobacteriota; Fusobacteriia; Fusobacteriales; Fusobacteriaceae
Description: ZTP sequence
Rfam family: ZMP/ZTP riboswitch aptamer (pfl RNA motif)
About the family: Previously known as pfl RNA.
Source: RNAcentral